RNAcentral lists this ribosomal RNA (446 nucleotides) under uncultured bacterium. RNAcentral describes it as "bacterial SSU rRNA". It matches the Rfam family "Bacterial small subunit ribosomal RNA", at positions 329 to 792 of the family's 1533-position model. The record is from RNAcentral.
ACCCAGACUCCUACGGGAGGCAGCAGUGGGGAAUAUUGCACAAUGGGGGAAACCCUGAUGCAGCGACGCCGCGUGAGCGAUGAAGUAUUUCGGUAUGUAAAGCUCUAUCAGCAGGGAAGAAAGUGACGGUACCUGACUAAGAAGCCCCGGCUAACUACGUGCCAGCAGCCGCGGUAAUACGUAGGGGGCAAGCGUUAUCCGGAUUUACUGGGUGUAAAGGGAGCGUAGACGGCUGCGCAAGUCAGAAGUGAAAGCCCGGGGCUCAACCGCGGGACUGCUUUUGAAACUGUGUAGCUAGAGUGCAGGAGAGGUAAGUGGAAUUCCUAGUGUAGCGGUGAAGUGCGUAGAUAUUAGGAGGAACACCGGUGGCGAAGGCGGCUUACUGGACUGUAACUGACGUUGAGGCUCGAAAGCGUGGGGAGCAAACAGGAUUAGAUACCCUAGUA